UACAGAGGUCCCAAGCGUUGUUCGGAUUCAUUGGGCGUAAAGGGUGCGUAGGCGGCGCGGUAAGUCGGGUGUGAAAUCUCGGGGCUUAACUCCGAAACUGCAUUCGAUACUGGCGUGCUUGAGGACUGGAGAGGAGACUGGAAUUUACGGUGUAGCGGUGAAAUGCGUAGAUAUCGUAAGGAAGACCAGUGGCGAAGGCGGGUCUCUGGACAGUACCUGACGCUGAGGCACGAAGGCCAGGGGAGCAAACGGG
Molecule: ribosomal RNA, 253 nt
Filed under: uncultured bacterium
Lineage: Bacteria
Description: partial 16S ribosomal RNA
Rfam family: Bacterial small subunit ribosomal RNA
Source: RNAcentral